GCGCAUGGUCUAGCAAGCAAUCCCUUGAGGGCUACUCGAUCUCCACUUACCCCGAGGGCGUCAAGUGCACCGCUGGGACUUGUCUCUUCAUUGGGAUUCAACAGGGGGCGUAAGGAAAAUGUAAAACUUUUUAUCAAUGUUGAUAGAUACACAAAAUAUAAUGCUCCCUCCAUUACACAGCGAUGUUCCAGAAUAUCACCACUUGCAUCUGCAUCCUUUGGUGACAUGGCGGACUCUUCAACUCCCAUUUUUCCUAGAAUCCAUGUGAAGGAUCCGUAUCAACGACUUGGAAUCAGCAAGGAAGCAUCUGAAGAAGAAAUUCGAGCUGCCAGGAACUUUCUCAUAAGCAAGUAUGCAGAGCAUAAGCCAAGUGUUGAUGCAAUUGAGUCUGCGCAUGACAAAAUCAUCAUGCAGAGUUUCUUUGAUAGAAAAAAACCGAAAGUGGAUCUCAAGAAAAAAUUUAGGGAACUUAGUCAGUCACGUCCAGUCAAGGCUGUUCAGGGCAGAUUUUACACGCCAUCUAACAAAUUUAUUUGGAAGACAGCGAUUACUUUUGUCUUGCUUGGAGUCCUUACCCUUGUUUUCCCUACUGAAGAAGGUCCAACUCUCCAGGUCUUAAUCUCUUGUGCGGCAAAUAUCUAUUUCCUUUAUCAGCGGCUUAAAAGUGGAUGGAAAUCAUUCUUUUAUGGGUUCGGCUCCUUCUUUGCUUCCUGGUUUCUUGCCACAUUCUUGAUGGUAUCAGUAAUUCCGCCUAUAUUGCCUGGUCCAAGAAACUUGGAAGUGAGCACGGCGUGUGUUGCUUACGCUUUCCUUUUUGUAUCAUCAACCUUCCUGAAGUAG
Molecule: ribosomal RNA, 840 nt
Filed under: Triticum aestivum (bread wheat)
Lineage: Eukaryota; Viridiplantae; Streptophyta; Magnoliopsida; Poales; Poaceae
Description: partial small subunit ribosomal RNA
Source: RNAcentral